RNAcentral lists this ribosomal RNA (459 nucleotides) under uncultured bacterium. RNAcentral describes it as "bacterial SSU rRNA". It matches the Rfam family "Bacterial small subunit ribosomal RNA", at positions 340 to 786 of the family's 1533-position model. The record is from RNAcentral.
UACGGAAGGCAGCAGUGGGGAAUAUUGCACAAUGGGCGAAAGCCUGAUGCAGCUAUGCCGCGUGUAUGAAGAAGGCCUUAGGGUUGUAAAGUACUUUCAUCGGGGAGGAAAAAACAAAACUAAUAAUUUUAUUUCUUGACGUUACCCGAAAAAGAAGCACCGGCUAACUCCGUGCCAGCAGCCGCGGUAAUACGGAGGGUGCUAGCGUUAAUCAGAAUUACUGGGCGUAAAGAGCACGUAGGUGGUUUUUUUAAAGUCAGAUGUGAAAUCCCUGGGCUUAACCUAGGAACUGCAUUUUGAAACUGAAAUACUAGAGUAUCGUAGAGGGAGGUAGAAUUCUAGGUGUAGCGGUGAAAUGCGUAGAUAUCUGGAGGAAUACCUGUGGCGAAAGCGGCCUCCUAAACCGAAUACUGACACUGAGGGUGCGAAAGCGUGGGGAGCAAACAGGGAUUAGAUACC